AUGAGAGUUUGAUCCUGGCUCAGGACGAACGCUGGCGGCGUGCCUAAUACAUGCAAGUCGAACGCUUCUUUCCUCCCGAGUGCUUGCACUCAAUUGGAAAGAGGAGUGGCGGACGGGUGAGUAACACGUGGGUAACCUACCCAUCAGAGGGGGAUAACACUUGGAAACAGGUGCUAAUACCGCAUAACAGUUUAUGCCGCAUGGCAUAAGAGUGAAAGGCGCUUUCGGGUGUCGCUGAUGGAUGGACCCGCGGUGCAUUAGCUAGUUGGUGAGGUAACGGCUCACCAAGGCCACGAUGCAUAGCCGACCUGAGAGGGUGAUCGGCCACACUGGGACUGAGACACGGCCCAGACUCCUACGGGAGGCAGCAGUAGGGAAUCUUCGGCAAUGGACGAAAGUCUGACCGAGCAACGCCGCGUGAGUGAAGAAGGUUUUCGGAUCGUAAAACUCUGUUGUUAGAGAAGAACAAGGACGUUAGUAACUGAACGUCCCCUGACGGUAUCUAACCAGAAAGCCACGGCUAACUACGUGCCAGCAGCCGCGGUAAUACGUAGGUGGCAAGCGUUGUCCGGAUUUAUUGGGCGUAAAGCGAGCGCAGGCGGUUUCUUAAGUCUGAUGUG
Molecule: ribosomal RNA, 620 nt
Filed under: Enterococcus faecalis
Lineage: Bacteria; Bacillati; Bacillota; Bacilli; Lactobacillales; Enterococcaceae
Description: bacterial SSU rRNA
Rfam family: Bacterial small subunit ribosomal RNA
Source: RNAcentral